GACAGAGGUGGCAAGCGUUGCUCGGAGUUACUGGGCAUAAAGGGCGCGUAGGCGGUCGCGUGCGUCGGUGGUGAAAUCCCCGGGCCUAACCCGGGAACUGCUAUCGAUACGGCGCGGCUAGAGUGCGGGAGGGGGGAGUGGAACUCCUGGUGGAGCGGUGAAAUGCGUAGAUAUCAGGAGGAACGCCGGUGGCGAAAGCGACUCCCUGGUCCGCAACUGACGCUGAGGCGCGAAAGCUAGGGGAGCAAACGGG
Molecule: ribosomal RNA, 253 nt
Filed under: uncultured bacterium
Lineage: Bacteria
Description: partial 16S ribosomal RNA
Rfam family: Bacterial small subunit ribosomal RNA
Source: RNAcentral